UGAUGCAGCGAUGCCGCGUGNAGGAGAAGGNUUUCGGAUUGUAAACUCCUGUCUUAANNGACNAUAAUGACGGUACUUUAGGAGGAAGCUCCGGCUAACUACGUGCCAGCAGCCGCGGUAAUACGUAGGGAGCGAGCGUUGUCCGGAAUUACUGGGUGUAAAGGGAGCGUAGGCGGGACGGUAAGUCAGAUGUGAAAUGCAGGGGCUCAACCCCUGAGCUGCAUUUGAAACUGCUGUUCUUGAGUGAAGUAGAGGUAAGCGGAAUUCCUGGUGUAGCGGUGAAAUGCGUAGAUAUCAGGAGGAACACCGGUGGCGAAGGCGGCUUACUGGGCUUUUACUGACGCUGAGGCUCGAAAGCGUGGGGAGCAAACAGGAUUAGAUACCCUGGUAGUCCACGCUGUAAACGAUGAUUACUAGGUGUGGGGGGACUGACCCCUUCCGUGCCGCAGUUAACACAAUAAGUAAUCCACCUGGGGAGUACGGCCGCAAGGUUGAAACUC
RNAcentral lists this ribosomal RNA (500 nucleotides) under uncultured Ruminococcus sp. RNAcentral's name for it is "bacterial SSU rRNA". It matches the Rfam family "Bacterial small subunit ribosomal RNA", at positions 384 to 902 of the family's 1533-position model. The record is from RNAcentral. Lineage: Bacteria; Bacillati; Bacillota; Clostridia; Eubacteriales; Oscillospiraceae.